UCUGCCCUGAGGUCUGACAUAACCCGUCGAAAGGCGGGCUAACAUCAGAUGAUAUAUAAUCACGACAUCGUGGAAACAUCAAAUCUUCGGAGCCUUGGGAUGAGCCUGCGUCUGAUUAGGGUAGUUGGCGGAGUAAUAGCCCACCAAGCCUACGAUCAGUAGCUGGUCUGAGAGGAUGAUCAGCCACACUGGAACUGAGACACGGUCCAGACUCCUACGGGAGGCAGCAGUAAGGAAUAUUGCUCAAUGGGGAAACCCUGAAGCAGCAACGCCGCGUGAAGGAUGAAAUACUUUGUAUGUAAACUUCUGUAAGAUGGGAAAAAUAUUCUCCUCGGGAGAAUUGAUUGUACCAUCAGAGUAAGCCCCGGCUAACUACGUG
This 379-nucleotide ribosomal RNA is filed under the name uncultured bacterium. RNAcentral describes it as "bacterial SSU rRNA". It matches the Rfam family "Bacterial small subunit ribosomal RNA", at positions 125 to 507 of the family's 1533-position model. The record is from RNAcentral.